This 392-nucleotide ribosomal RNA is filed under the name uncultured bacterium. RNAcentral describes it as "partial 16S ribosomal RNA". It matches the Rfam family "Bacterial small subunit ribosomal RNA", at positions 523 to 918 of the family's 1533-position model. The record is from RNAcentral.
AUACGGAGGAUCCGAGCGUUAUCCGGAUUUAUUGGGUUUAAAGGGUGCGCUGGCGGCCAUUUAAGUCAGCGGUUAAAUCGUGGGGCUCAACCCCAUUCUGCCGUUGAUACUGGGUGGCUUGAUUGCGGUCGAGGUUGGCGGAAUUCGUUGUGUAGCGGUGAAAUGCAUAGAUAUGACGAAGAACACCGAUUGCGUAGGCAGCUGACCAGACCGCAAAUGACGCUCAUGCACGAAAGUGCGGGGAUCGAACAGGAUUAGAUACCCUGGUAGUCCGCACAGUAAACGAUGAAUACUUGUUUUCGGCGAUAUAAUGUCGGAGGCAAAGCGAAAGCGAUAAGUAUUCCACCUGGGGAGUACGCCGGCAACGGUGAAACUCAAAUGAAUUGACGGGG